UACGUAGGGUGCAAGCGUUGUCCGGAAUUAUUGGGCGUAAAGCGCGCGCAGGCGGUCCUUUAAGUCUGAUGUGAAAGCCCACGGCUCGACCGUGGAGGGUCAUUGGAAACUGGAGGACUUGAGUGCAGAAGAGAAGAGUGGAAUUCCACGUGUAGCGGUGAAAUGCGUAGAGAUGUGGAGGAACACCAGUGGCGAAGGCGACUCUUUGGUCUGUAACUGACGCUGAGGCGCGAAAGCGUGGGGAGCAAACAGG
RNAcentral lists this ribosomal RNA (253 nucleotides) under uncultured bacterium. RNAcentral's name for it is "partial 16S ribosomal RNA". It matches the Rfam family "Bacterial small subunit ribosomal RNA", at positions 524 to 776 of the family's 1533-position model. The record is from RNAcentral.